CCUACGGGUGGCUGCAGUGAGGAAUAUUGGUCAAUGGACGAGAGUCUGAACCAGUCAAGUAGCGUGAAGGAUGACUGCCCUAUGGGUUGUAAACUUCUUUUAUAUGGGAAUAAAACGUUCCACGUGUGGGAUUUUGUAUGUACCAUAUGAAUAAGGAUCGGCUAACUCCGUGCCAGCAGCCGCGGUAAUCCGGAGGAUCCGAGCGUUAUCCAGAUUUAUUGGGUUUAAAGGGAGCGUAGGUGGAUUGUUAAGUCAGUUGUGAAAGUUUGCGGCUCAACCGUAAAAUUGCAGUUGAAACUGGCAGUCUUGAGUACAGUAGAGGUGGGCGGAAUUCGUGGUGUAGCGGUGAAAUGCUUAGAUAUCACGAAGAACUCCGAUUGCGAAGGCAGUUCACUGAACUGCAACUGACACUGAGGCUCGAAAGUGUGGGUAUCAAACAGGAUUAGAUACCCGUGUAGUC
RNAcentral lists this ribosomal RNA (460 nucleotides) under uncultured bacterium. Its description in RNAcentral is "partial 16S ribosomal RNA". It matches the Rfam family "Bacterial small subunit ribosomal RNA", at positions 338 to 795 of the family's 1533-position model. The record is from RNAcentral.